This is a long non-coding RNA of Dendronephthya gigantea, 1274 nucleotides long. RefSeq lists it as uncharacterized. The record is from RefSeq and is a predicted model, not a curated record. NCBI's taxonomy places the organism in Eukaryota, Metazoa, Cnidaria, Anthozoa, Malacalcyonacea, Nephtheidae. The transcript has 9 exons.
UUCGAUCUAUUCAAUAUGGUGGUCAAUCAAGAAAUGUUUUUGCUUGCAAAAAGAUCGUAAAUUGUUGGCGCUACAAGCUCGGAAAGAUUGUAAAUGAGAUCAGGCUUUUAUCAGCUCACAGAAUAACAAGAAGGAAUCAUCCAAACAAAUUUAUUUGUAACAUGGUGGAUAGCAAAGUCCCUCUUUGAAAACCUACUUCAGUCAUUUUACGAUUGUAAAUGAGAUCAGGCUUUUAUCAGCUCACAGAAUAACAAGAAGGAAGCAUCCAAACAAAUUCAUUUGUAAAAUGGUGGAUAACAAAGUCCCUCCUUGAAAACCUACUUCAGUCAUUUUACGAUUAAAAGUCCAGCGAGAAAUGAAGUGAAAGGCGAUUUGAAAACCACGAGAUUGCUUUUGCCAAUGUUUUGAUCUGAAGGCUUAAAGAACCAUUUUUACAAUAUUGGAGAUAUGUAGUGGAAUAAAUGCCUGGAAAGACAAUUAUUGUCUGACAAUAUAAACUAUAAAUUGAAACCGGAAUGCAAUGAUAAGAAAGGGAAAUAUGGAAUAAAUGCCUGGAAAUACAAUAUAAACUAUAAUUUUAAACUGGAAUGCAAUGAUAAGAAAGGGAAAUAAACUAUUGCUAAGUCUAAAGAACCACUGAAGCUGAAGAAUUGAGAUACAACAAUCUUUGACUGACUUUAGGUGUAAGACGUUCGCCCAGCUAUUGUAGACCGCAUGGAAUCGAUUCAAGUCCUUUAAAAAUUUGUGAAUCAAGAUGAGAAUGAACUUAGUGAAUCUAUUGGUGGCGAUCGAAGGUGGACAGCAAGAUCGAAGCUCAGCAAGAUUGAAGAUUGUUCGAAGAAGAAGGAGUUCGCCGUUGACUAAAAGGUUUAUCUGAACAGCUAGUUGUCAAGAUGAAUGCGAAGACUCGCCCGGCCAAAUUCAAAAUGGCGAUGCCAAAGAAAACCACCACCUGGACCGUUCGCAGACCUUUCUGGGCAAGAUUGUUGUGCUGUCUGGUCAAAGUUAAGUAUUUUACUUUGAUGUUUGUGUGCCUUCGGCUAAUUGUUGGCCAGAAAUGACAAAAAGCCAUAUACAAUAUGAAAUAUUCUGCGUACAAGGUUAUCUAAAAUUUCGAACUUAAUUCUGCCUGCAAUGAUGAUAAUUUUUUACUGAAAAUUUAUGUCAUGAGCAACUUCCGCACCUAUAGACUGAAGCAGAACUGAACAUUUUGUCAUUAACGUUUAUCUCAACAGCCAGUUAUCAAGACGAACGUCAAGAGAACAGUUGAAAUA